RNAcentral lists this long non-coding RNA (2653 nucleotides) under Podarcis lilfordi (Lilford's wall lizard). The record is from RNAcentral. Lineage: Eukaryota; Metazoa; Chordata; Lepidosauria; Squamata; Lacertidae.
GGUUUCCAAUUUCCGUAGAAAAAUGUGAGGGAUAUCUUGACUCCUAUACAUGUUGAAGCCACCUACCACCUCGGAGAGAAUGUUCUAAAGAAUCAAAGUUCAGAUGAACUCCCACCACUCCAGCCAGUUCUUCAACAACGAACUGAGGAUGAUGUCAUACGCAGCAAGGUAUGUUUGUGUUUGCGAAAGUGGCAUGUUUGCACCUGAAACAGGGUUUUUUGGGGGGUUUUUUUGCAUACUUAUUGCUAUUUGUUUUUCCUCCAACAUUUAUAUGCCUCUCUGUAACGUAAAGUUUUCUGGAAAACUUAAAAUAAGUAAAAACAGUUGAAUUGAAAAAUAAGUUUCCAAUUGCAUUUGUGUGUAUGUUUAUGUUUUGUAUUUAUGUAUUUUUGGGGCCACUGUAGCAGCUCUUGAGAAUUGGAGAUGUGGAGUAUGAAUUUAUUAAAUAAAUGAAUGGUCCAGAUUUAAGCAGCUUGCACUGUGUGUUUAUCUAAAAAAUGCUACUUUUAGGACUGCCAUCUUCGUUUGCUUUUUUAAAAAAUGUUUUUAUCGAAAUAUUUUGCAAAGGUACAUUCAGUGUCUCUGUUUUUAAAUCAUAGCAUCCUUCAUACAAAUCAAUUACCGUCAGUUUGAGACACAUUUUUAUCCUAGAGAGAAUGGCUUCAGAAAUAUUACUUGUGAAGCCAGUCCUAUGGAUACAGAGCCAUGAGAGUAAACAAGGGGUCAGCAAACUACAGCCCCCAGGGGGCUGGUUCACUGUCCCUCAGACACUGUUGGGGGCUGGACAGGAAGGACAAGCUGGUGCCUUACCUGCAGCUGCCACCCUGUGCAGGUGUUUCUGCCCCUUCGUCCUACUGCUCUCCAGAGGUGAAGGCCACCGCCUGGGCCACUUUGCCGCCAGCCUCAUCAUCCUCCACCGUCACGUCAGCCGCCAAUGGCAACGCAGCAGCUGUGGCCCCGCUGAGCCCUAGCCCAGGCCAGUUGUCCUCCUCCAGGAAUGCAGCUGCUGCCCCACACAUGGGAAUGCUGAGCGGGAGCAGCCACAGCAGCACCAGGGCAGCGGCAGUGGGAGGAAGAGGCCGAGCGGCAGCAGCUCCGCCAAUCAAACUCCGCUCCUGGUUUACCUAAGUGUGGUGUGGGGACGUAUCUGCCAAUCAAACUCCGCGCCUGGUUUACCUCAGCGCAGCGCGGCAUUUGAUUGGCAGAGACGUCCCCAUCCCACCCUGAGGUAAACCAGGCGCGGCGUUUGAUUGGCAGAGACGUCCCCAUCCCACCCUGAGGUAAACCAGGCAUGGUGUUUGAUAGGCAGAGCCUCCGCUUCUCAGCCUCUUCCUCCCGCUGCCUUCGCUGGGAGUCUCGGCUUCGCAGCGGGUUCUUAAAUGGCCAGGCUGGAUUUAGAAGCCUGCUGGGCCUGAUACGGCCCAGGAACCAUAGUUUGCUGACCCCUGGAAUAUACUUUCCCUUGCUCUGUACGAAACUUUGAAUAGCAGUUAAUUUAUAAGUGUGUGCGCAUGUGUGUGUGCACAGCCUUCUGCUGCUGGCCUAGUUUUCCGGAUCCGGGCAAAUAUGUUCAUUUCCUGAUCUAAUUUUAAGUGCUCCAAUGCAGUGUUUAAGAGCCUAAUAAACCCCUUCAAAUUAAUAAAUGUUUCCCUCGGCAAAUACUGUUGUGAUGAAAGGUCAAAUGGAUUUGUUUCCAUACCUCAUGAAGCAUCUUAGUUAGCAUCAAGCCAGUCUGAAAAAAAGUCAAAUAAAAAAUUGUCUGCACUACAUCAGUCCACUGACGGUAUAUUGUGCAGUGGGAUCACAAGUGGGGAGAUUGCUGUUGCAUUCAGGUCCUGCUGUUUAUAGUGACCAUGGUGAAAACAGAAGAUGGGGCUAGAUAGUCCUUUUGGAGUCUCUCUUUAUGGUCAGUAAUACCAUGUGUAUGUUGUUUAGGCUGAUGUUGUGUUAGGAGCCUCCCAGAGGUAUCUGUUGAGGGUUGCCUAGAAAGAGCUGUUUCCUUUUGGGUCCCUUGCUUUGUUGUUGUUGACAGUGGAAGGUACUAGACUUGUGUGUAAAGAAUGAGAGAGAGGAGUGAGGACCUGCCAGUAAAAUACUGUUUUAAAUUAACAGUCUGAGUUUCAGAGUGAAAAGGGUUUUACUUCUGAAAAUGUAUGGAUAUGGGACGCAGGUGGCGCUGUGGGUUAAACCACAGAGCCUAGGACUUGCUGUUCAGAAGGUCGGCGGUUCGAAUCCCCGUGUCAGAGUGAGCUCCCGUUGCUUGGUCCCUGCUCCUGCCAACCUGGCAGUUCGAACGCACGUCAAAGUGCAAGUAGAUAAAUAGGUACCACUCCGUGGGAAGGUAAACGGCUUUUCCGUGCGCUGCUGUGGUUCACCAGUAGCAGCUUAGUCAUGCUGGCCACAUGACCCGGAAGCUGUACGCCGGCUCCCUCGGCCAAUAAAGCGAGAUGAGCGCCGCAACCCCAGAGUCAGCCAUGACUGGACCUAAUGGUCAGGGGUUCCUUUAUCUUUACCUUUAUGUAUGGAUAUGGUAUUGUAUUUGACCCUAAAUAAUUGUUGUUUUUCUCUUUUAUAGUUCAUGUUUGCAAGAUUUUGCUCUCAAGAAAAUUGCUCUGCUAACUUGCAAGUUUCUGGAAAACUUACAUUCCCGAGG